Molecule: ribosomal RNA, 310 nt
Filed under: uncultured fungus
Lineage: Eukaryota; Fungi
Description: SSU rRNA
Rfam family: Eukaryotic small subunit ribosomal RNA
Source: RNAcentral
AAAGAUUAAGCCAUGCAUGUCUAAGUAUAAGCAAUCUAUACGGUGAAACUGCGAAUGGCUCAUUAAAUCAGUUAUCGUUUAUUUGAUAGUACCUUACUACUUGGAUAACCGUGGUAAUUCUAGAGCUAAUACAUGCUAAAAACCCCGACUUCGGAAGGGGUGUAUUUAUUAGAUAAAAAACCAAUGCCCUUCGGGGCUCCUUGGUGAUUCAUAAUAACUUAACGAAUCGCAUGGCCUUGUGCCGGCGAUGGUUCAUUCAAAUUUCUGCCCUAUCAACUUUCGAUGGUAGGAUAGUGGCCUACCAUGGUUU